This is a long non-coding RNA of Ostrea edulis (European flat oyster), 5134 nucleotides long. RefSeq lists it as uncharacterized. The record is from RefSeq and is a predicted model, not a curated record. The transcript is spliced from 2 exons. Lineage: Eukaryota; Metazoa; Mollusca; Bivalvia; Ostreida; Ostreidae.
UAAUGUUACCUAUGUUAUAUACAAGUAAAGUUGCUUGUAUACAAAUGGUGACGUAUUUCUGCUUUCCACAUAACGUUUGGUCAGCAAGUCACAACAGCUAUCUCCUUAAGUCAGGUUGCUGGCAACUUUCUUUUUCAUCUUGAGGGACAAAUGGGGUGAAGAAUUGACGAACAGAAACCAGUUGCUCAAAACCCUGGUUAAAUUAAACCACUGGUUAAGCUAACCACUGGUUAAAUUUACUAUCCACUAAGUAACUAACCACUGGUCAAAAUUCUGUUACUGAAAGUGAGUUUAGCCCCAGGGCAUAGAAUAGAAUAUGAUUUAUUUCCAAAUUAGGGCCCUCUCGGGCAUACGGCAUACAUGAUUGUUAACAUUUCAAUGUGCAAUGUUUAUUUUUUUUUUUAAAAUGAUGAUAAAAAGAAAAGAACAAAACAAGAGCAAAAUAUGCACUGUUAGUAUGAGCAAUGUUCAUACAUGAGACAUUUUGAACAUGAUAAUACUUAUUUGUAUUACAUGUAAGUACCACCGUGUAUCUUAAUGCAAAACAGUCAGAAAUACACACAGAAAAAAUAAAAUAAAAAAUGUAUACAUGUACAUAACAACACUACAUGUAAUAAUAGUAAAGGUAGUAUAAGUACAUAUGAUUAACUCCACUGUAAUGUAAAAGAUACCACGGGACGGUGCAUUGGUACUAGGUCAACAUGUCAUGUUUAUAAUGAGUGCAUAUGUGCAAUAUGCAUGGUUUCAUAUGGUUCACACAUAAUAUACAGUAAUACUAGUAGUAUGAGCUUAGACAAUGUACAUAACAUGAGACAUAACUUGAUGUAAUAUAUGUAAGUACCACCGUGUAUCCUAAUGCAAAACAGUCAGAAAUGCACACAGGAAGAAAAUAAUAACAAUAUAUGCAAUGACACAUAAUAAUAGUAAAAGGCACGUAGUACAAGUACAUAUGAUUGACUGUAAUGCAAAAGAUACCACGGGACGGUGCAUUGGUACUAAGUCAACAUGUCAUGUUUACAAUGAGUGCAUAAUUAUGUAUAAACAUAUUGGUUUGAACUUUCACAUGCUUCAUUUUAUAUUGCUUCUUUAAUCAAAUCGCAAACGGCUACAAGUACAUCAGUAUUUUCACAAUUGAGUAACCAUAUUAAUCUAUUCAUGUUGUCAAGACUGGAAAAGUGUUCACAUUGUUGUUUUAUAAUUCUAUACAUGUUCUGCCUGAGUGAGUUAUAAGUUGAACAUUUAAAAAUUUGAUGAAUUUCAUCACCAAUUUUACAAGAAGAACACUUUGUACAAAAUCUUAAAUGUCUAGGGAUUCCUGAAUAACGACCUCGUUCUACUGGUAAAUUGUGCGCUGAUGUACGUAAUCUUGCAAGUGCUUUACCUUGUGCAGGUGGUAAAAGUGUUAAGUAGUUUUCAAAAACAAAAUUAGUUUUAAAAACAUAAGUUUCAAGUUUUCCAUAUUGUAAACUUCUGACAUAUCCCCAUUCUUUCAAAUGAUGAUGGCAUAACAAUUCCUUACAUUUUUUCUUAAAAAUUGAUAGGUUAUAUGAUUGCAAUAUGAUUGUUUCUAAUUCCAACAAUUCCAAAUAAGUUUUGUACGACACCAUACCAUGACUGCGAUUUUAAUGUACAAGCAUUAUGCUUACUUUGCAUGUAUGCAGCAUUUAGUAGAGGAAAAGAAGUACCCAGAUUUUCUAAUCUGCUUAAAUAUUUUAUUAUAUUUUUCACUACAUCAAAAUGUAGUGGAAACCUGCCAAGUUCGGAUAGUGUUGCAAAGUUUGAGCUUUUUCUAUGAAGACCUAGAAUAAAUUUACAGAAUUUCACAUGGAGGUUUUCACAUUUUAAUCUAGAGUAAAAAUCAUACAAGGAGAUAUCAUUGCGAUUGAAAAAAGAAGGGCGAUUAAAAAUUCCCCAAAUCUCACUGCCAUAGAGUAAAAUUGGCUUGAUUGUGUGAUCAAAGACAUGAAUGGAUGUUUUAAUGCUAGGUUGUAAUGAUAAAAAAUCUUUAUGUAAUUUGAAAUAUGCUUUCAUUGCCUUUUUGUACAGAUCCUCUUGAGCAUUAGAAAAAUCUCCAGCUGUAUUGAAAUAUGUUCCCAAAUAUCUGUAAGAGGGGACACACUGUAUUUCCCUUUUCUCCAAAAUAAAAUUUUGCUUGAGAAAUCUUCCUGCCUUGUUAAAGAUUAAAAUUUUAGUUUUAUCAAUAUUGACUUUCAACCACCAAUCAGAACAAAAUUUUUGCAAUUUAUCAAGGUUACAUUGUAAGCCAACUGCUGAAUGUGACAGUAAUAUUACAUCAUCUGCAUACAUUAAACAGUGUAUUAUUUUAUUGUUUAGAACUAUUGGGUCACUUGCAUCUUUGAAGUACUCUGGUAAGUCAUUGAUAAAUAUAUUAAACAAGUUGGGACUGAGGUUGUCUCCCUGUUUUACACCGAGUUUAAUUUGGAAAAAGUCUGUAUGAUGACUUUUUAUCUUAAUGCAUGAUUUACUAUUAUUGUACAUACUUUUAAUAAGCAUAUAAAAUUGGGUUCCAACACAAAAUUUGAGUAGUUUGUAUUUGAUACCCGAGUGUAUGACAGUAUCAAAUGCUUUUCUAAAAUCUAUAAAACAAGCAUAUACUCGCCCCUCUUUAUUAUGGCAAUAAGUUUCAAUGAUAUUUUUAAGAAUAAACAUGUGAUCUGAUGUCCUUGCAGAUUUUGUGAAACCAAUCUGGCAUUCAUUAAUUAUUUUAUGCUUUUCAAGAAAUCUGUCAAGCCUCCUAUUGAGGAUACUAUUUAAUAAUUUACUUAUUGCACUAGUUAUGGUUAUUCCACGAUAAUUGUUUGGGUCGUGAGCAUCGCCAGACUUAUGUAGUAAAGUUAUAAUACCAGAUGACCAUUGAUUAGGAUAAAUACCUCCCAAUAAACAGCUAUUUUAAAAAUAGUUUAUGCAAGCUAUCGAUAAGUGCAGUUUGUCCAUGUUUCAGCAUGUGAUUAGUUAUUCUAUCUAAUCCUGGAUUUUUGUUACAUUUUAAUUUGCAUAAUGUUUCAGAGAUUUCUGUUUUAGAAAUCCUAAAGUUUAAUUCAUUAAAACAUACUUUAGAUACAAGUUUAGAUACUUGUUCAUCCAAACUAGCAAUGCGAGAUUUGAAAGAAUCUGUAACAGUAUUUAACAUAAUAAAAUGGUAUAGCCAACCUUUAGAAGAUAUUUGAGAUCCUUUGUCAUUCACUUUCUCAUCUGAGGCAUACUAACCAACGGUUAAGUACAUUUAACCAGUGGUUAGUAUCCCAUCAUUCAACAAUGGUCGUAUGGACAUGUAAACAAUAAUGGCUACUGAAAAUGUUAAUGAAGCGGACAGAGAACUUUUCACCUAAUGAGACACUAUUCUUAGUUGUACAGGUUAUAUUAUGAAGUCAACCGAGACCGUUAACUCGAAAAGGAAAAAAAAAGGGGGGGGGGUAAGUUGAGAAUGUGAAAGAGAUGUACAGGAAGACUUGUUCGAAAGCAAAAGGAGAAGAAACUGUAUGCAGAAAACUCAAUGAAUAUAGACUGGAGGGGGUCCACCUCCUUUGUCACUCAACCCUGUCUCAUAGAAAAUUAUUUAGAUCCACCGGGAAUCAGUGAAUUAAUUCAUCGGGAUUUCACGAGGACUUGAGGAUGGAGGCCUUGAUAUUCACGGAAACCAAACAAUAUCUUACAAUGAAAACAUGGUGAGACGGCACAGCUGGGGCUCUAUGAGAUCUGGGAUGUACCUGCCUGAUUCUUUAGAAAAUUUUCAACUUCCUUUUUACUCUAUUUCUGUGAAAUCAUGAUUAAAAUGUCUCCAAACUCCCCGUUUCUUGUGUUAUGUGCUCAUGUUUACAUCAAAAAGCAAGCAAGGAGUCAUGUUUAACCACUGGUUAAAUGACUUAACCCACCUCUGCAGUUUGGUUAACUUUGGUCAAUAUUUAACCAUUGGUUAGGCAAAUUAACCACUGGUUAACCUUUGAGCAACAGAAUUUAACAAUUGGCUAAAAGUUAACCGGUGGACAAGGGAUUUAACCACUGGUUAAGAUUAACCAAGGUUUUGAGCAACUGGGUCCAGCAUUGGGUCACGUCCAACAAGAAUAUAUUUGUUUUAAUGGGAUGAUCCCAGGGCACUUGCCUAUCAGAAUAUUCUUGACAUAUGCAACAAGAAUAUAUCUGGUAUAGAGUAUAUUUAAAGCCAAACACUUGUAUGCAGGUGUUACUGUCUUAUGGCAGUAUCUAGUUACUGUAAAUUCCGGAAUAUACGCGAGGAAUUUGUUAUCGUGUAAUUUCGCGAGAGGCAUCACUCGCGAAAUAAAACUACUCACUUUUAAUUUUCUGGUGCUAAAAUGCAUGCAAAUACUCUUGAUUUAACAGACGACAUGCGAAUUCGAGUUCACGCGAUUUGACGUAUACGAACCAUUUCGCCAUAUUAAAAGUACUCGUGUAAAAUAAGAAAUCUACAGUAUUUACUGCCAUCAAGCGAUAUCACCAAUUCGAAAUGUUGGUAUCACCUAUUCAGAUUAUGAUUUUAAUUUCGCCUUUUCAACACCUUUUUUAAAAUAUCUUCUUCUUCUUUUAAUAAAAAUGUAUAUAUCUUCCUUCAAUAAUCUAGUUAAUAUACAUGUCCAUCUUUCAUUUAAAAGGCCUUUAAAUGAAAGCAAAUUGUAAAUUCCCUGCACACAAACGCAAUGAAGAGGAACUGUAUCUCGAAGUAGCAGACUUUGUUCCGUGGACAAUAAUCAUUCAUUUUGUUACUUUACUCAAGUACAUGUGCCACGUAUAAAAGCAUGCCAAGCAAAAUCGCUGUGUUUACCAAUCAAGAACUUCUUUCGGAAAGAAUUCUGUUGUUGGAGAAAUACCGAAGAACAGGUGUAUAUCUUUGCUGGUGAUAAAUGUGUUUAUUGGCGAUGUUCUAUGCCAAAAGUUGGCAAUGUACUUUGUACGUAUACUUUUGAAUUCAACGGGCAAAGUUUAGAUAAGGUGUUUAAUCUGCAAGGUUACACAACAGUAACUACACUCCCUCGGAUUUCUAUUAUCCUAUAAUUUUAAUAUCAUGCACCAGUGACAUGCUUAUUUAAAACCAGAUAUUACCAUAACAAAAAUAUGAAAUAUCAUUUCGAAGUAACGAGCUGAUAAAACGUAACGUAAA